Molecule: non-coding RNA, 1220 nt
Organism: Paramisgurnus dabryanus
Lineage: Eukaryota; Metazoa; Chordata; Actinopteri; Cypriniformes; Cobitidae
Source: RefSeq, a predicted model, not a curated record
CUGAAAACAAGACAACAAUACAAAGUAAGUCAUUUUUUGCAGUGUGACUCCAUUGAAUGUUCUUGUGUGUUAAAGAAAGUCUCUCUUUUUGUGUGUGGUGUUGUGUGAUGUAGAUUAAAUAUGACCGGGCCAAAACGGACAUGGCAGCAGGUCAAAAUCAAAAUCUGCAGAAUGCAGUGAAAAAGAAUACCCAGAGACAAGGCACGGGUGGUGGGUCACCAAAAGCUGACCUCAUCCCAGCAGAGGCCAGCUUUGGAGUUAAAUAAAGGCAGGCCUGUUGGAGGGAAUCCCUGCGGGAAAAGAGACAAGCAUAGGUCCCUCACAAGAUGCCACCCGCUUCAUACAAGGUAUGUUCUUCCAUCUCUACAUGGGACACAAUCACAUUCAUAUUGACUCUAUUUGGACUGUCUGACUUUGGUUUGCCUAUUGCCUUGUAGUGUCUGGCAGCACUGUGUUACUGUUAAAGCCACCAGCACGAGCACCUGACGAUGCUGAUCCAAUGAGUACUCCAUCAAAGGCAUACUGUAGGCCUGGCAUGUCUUGUCUACUAGCUUCAAUAUGAAUCCGAUUAAAUGUGAUGGGGUCAAGGCCCCAUUUCAUCAGCACAUAACGGCGAUGAUGAUGAGGAGACCAUCUCGCUGGAUUCUAAAAGGCAUAAGGUAUCAUGUCAAACUUGUGAAAGUACUAUACAAAGGAGUCAUCAUUGGGAGCCAUCACAAAAUCUCAUUUCUUUUACAGGACCCAGAGUCAUUGGUGCACUGGACUGCACAAACAUAAGGAUAAAAUCCCCCUCAGGUGCCCAUGAGGCAGAUUUUGUAAAUAUGAAAUCUUUUUACAGCAUUAAUGUUCAGGUGAACAUAACUUUUUGAUCUUUUCCAUUGAACACUGGCAAAAUGGCCUGGCUCAGUCCAUGACUCCAGAAUCUUUCGAACCUCUGAAAUCUAUCAGCGCCUAUCACAAGGUGAAUUCUCGGGUGUGUUGCUGAGAGACAGGGGGUAUGGCUGCCAGCCGUUUUUCCUGACACCUUUUACAGACCCCCAGGAAGCACAGCCGGCCUACAACUAUGCCCAUGUUAGGGUCAGAGUUGAAAUGACCUUUGGCCUCCUGAAGGCACGCUCUCACUGCCUUCACAAAUUAAGGGUCAGCCCUGUGAGGGCAUGUGACAUUACUGUGGCUUGUGCUGUCCUCCACAAUGUGGCCUGCCUGAGGAAGGAGAGGGC